RNAcentral lists this ribosomal RNA (253 nucleotides) under uncultured bacterium. Its description in RNAcentral is "partial 16S ribosomal RNA". It matches the Rfam family "Bacterial small subunit ribosomal RNA", at positions 524 to 776 of the family's 1533-position model. The record is from RNAcentral.
UACAGAGGUCUCAAGCGUUGUUCGGAUUCAUUGGGCGUAAAGGGUGCGUAGGCGGCGCGGUAAGUCGGAUGUGAAAUCUCGGAGCUUAACUUCGAAACUGCAUUCGAUACUGCCGUGCUUGAGGACUGGAGAGGAGACUGGAAUUUACGGUGUAGCGGUGAAAUGCGUAGAUAUCAGGAGGAACACCGGUGGCGAAGGCGGGUCUCUGGGCAACAACUGACGCUGAGGAGCGAAAGCGUGGGGAGCGAACAGG